This 220-nucleotide ribosomal RNA is filed under the name uncultured bacterium. Its description in RNAcentral is "partial 16S ribosomal RNA". It matches the Rfam family "Bacterial small subunit ribosomal RNA", at positions 1281 to 1500 of the family's 1533-position model. The record is from RNAcentral.
CUAGGUCUCAGUUCAGACNGCAGGCUGCAACUCGCCUGCACGAAGUCGGAAUUGCUAGUAAUCGUAGGUCAGCAUACUACGGUGAAUACGUUCCCGGGCCUUGUACACACCGCCCGUCAAACCAUGAGAGUUGGCAACACCCGAAGUCGGUAGUCUAACCGCAAGGAGGACGCCGCCGAAGGUGGGGCCGAUGAUUAGGGUUAAGUCGUAACAAGGUAGC